GUGCUCACUUUGGUGGCACAAAUGCUAAAUUGGAACAAUACAGAGAAGACUAGUAAUCCCCCUGCACAAGGAUGACAUACAGAUUCAUGAGGCAUUCUGUUUUUUA
Molecule: small nuclear RNA, 106 nt
Organism: Cervus hanglu yarkandensis (Yarkand deer)
Lineage: Eukaryota; Metazoa; Chordata; Mammalia; Artiodactyla; Cervidae
Source: Ensembl